GACGAACGCUGGCGGCGUGCUUAACACAUGCAAGUCGAACGGUGAAGCGAGUGCUUGCACUCGUGGAUCAGUGGCGAACGGGUGAGUAACACGUGAGUAACCUGCCCAUCACUCUGGGAUAAGCACUGGAAACGGUGUCUAAUACUGGAUACGACCAACCCUUGCAUGGGGUGUUGGUGGAAAGAUUUAUCGGUGAUGGAUGGGCUCGCGGCCUAUCAGCUUGUUGGCGGGGUAGUGGCCAACCAAGGCGACGACGGGUAGCCGGCCUGAGAGGGUGACCGGCCACACUGGGACUGAGACACGGCCCAGACUCCUACGGGAGGCAGCAGUGGGGAAUAUUGCACAAUGGGCGAAAGCCUGAUGCAGCGACGCCGCGUGAGGGAUGACGGCCUUCGGGUUGUAAACCUCUUUCAGCAGGGAAGAAGCGAAAGUGACGGUACCUGCAGAAGAAGCACCGGCUAACUACGUG
RNAcentral lists this ribosomal RNA (469 nucleotides) under uncultured bacterium. RNAcentral describes it as "partial 16S ribosomal RNA". It matches the Rfam family "Bacterial small subunit ribosomal RNA", at positions 28 to 507 of the family's 1533-position model. The record is from RNAcentral.